GGGUUGUGAGGUUAAGCGACUAAGCGUACACGGUGGAUGCCCUGGCAGUCAGAGGCGAUGAAGGACGUGCUAAUCUGCGAUAAGCGUCGGUAAGGUGAUAUGAACCGUUAUAACCGGCGAUUUCCGAAUGGGGAAACCCAGUGUGAUUCGUCACACUAUCAUUAACUGAAUCCAUAGGUUAAUGAGGCGAACCGGGGGAACUGAAACAUCUAAGUACCCCGAGGAAAAGAAAUCAACCGAGAUUCCCCCAGUAGCGGCGAGCGAACGGGGAGCAGCCCAGAGCCUGAAUCAGUGUGUGUGUUAGUGGAAGCGUCUGGAAAGGCGCGCGAUACAGGGUGACAGCCCCGUACACAAAAAUGCACAUGCUGUGAGCUCGAUGAGUAGGGCGGGACACGUGGUAUCCUGUCUGAAUAUGGGGGGACCAUCCUCCAAGGCUAAAUACUCCUGACUGACCGAUAGUGAACCAGUACCGUGAGGGAAAGGCGAAAAGAACCCCGGCGAGGGGAGUGAAAAAGAACCUGAAACCGUGUACGUACAAGCAGUGGGAGCACGCUUAGGCGUGUGACUGCGUACCUUUUGUAUAAUGGGUCAGCGACUUAUAUUCUGUAGCAAGGUUAACCGAAUAGGGGAGCCGAAGGGAAACCGAGUCUUAACUGGGCGUUAAGUUGCAGGGUAUAGACCCGAAACCCGGUGAUCUAGCCAUGGGCAGGUUGAAGGUUGGGUAACACUAACUGGAGGACCGAACCGACUAAUGUUGAAAAAUUAGCGGAUGACUUGUGGCUGGGGGUGAAAGGCCAAUCAAACCGGGAGAUAGCUGGUUCUCCCCGAAAGCUAUUUAGGUAGCGCCUCGUGAAUUCAUCUCCGGGGGUAGAGCACUGUUUCGGCAAGGGGGUCAUCCCGACUUACCAACCCGAUGCAAACUGCGAAUACCGGAGAAUGUUAUCACGGGAGACACACGGCGGGUGCUAACGUCCGUCGUGAAGAGGGAAACAACCCAGACCGCCAGCUAAGGUCCCAAAGUCAUGGUUAAGUGGGAAACGAUGUGGGAAGGCCCAGACAGCCAGGAUGUUGGCUUAGAAGCAGCCAUCAUUUAAAGAAAGCGUAAUAGCUCACUGGUCGAGUCGGCCUGCGCGGAAGAUGUAACGGGGCUAAACCAUGCCCGAAGCUGCGGCAGCGACGCUUAUGCGUUGUUGGGUAGGGGAGCGUUCUGUAAGCCUGUGAAGGUGUACUGUGAGGUAUGCUGGAGGUAUCAGAAGUGCGAAUGCUGACAUAAGUAACGAUAAAGCGGGUGAAAAGCCCGCUCGCCGGAAGACCAAGGGUUCCUGUCCAACGUUAAUCGGGGCAGGGUGAGUCGACCCCUAAGGCGAGGCCGAAAGGCGUAGUCGAUGGGAAACAGGUUAAUAUUCCUGUACUUGGUGUUACUGCGAAGGGGGACGGAGAAGGCUAUGUUGGCCGGGCGACGGUUGUCCCGGUUUAAGCGUGUAGGCUGGUUUUCCAGGCAAAUCCGGAAAAUCAAGGCUGAGGCGUGAUGACGAGGCACUACGGUGCUGAAGCAACAAAUGCCCUGCUUCCAGGAAAAGCCUCUAAGCAUCAGGUAACAUCAAAUCGUACCCAAACCGACACAGGUGGUCAGGUAGAGAAUACCAAGGCGCUUGAGAGAACUCGGGUGAAGGAACUAGGCAAAAUGGUGCCGUAACUUCGGGAGAAGGCACGCUGAUAUGUAGGUGAAGCGACUUGCUCGUGAGCUGAAAUCAGUCGAAGAUACCAGCUGGCUGCAACUGUUUAUUAAAAACACAGCACUGUGCAAACACGAAAGUGGACGUAUACGGUGUGACGCCUGCCCGGUGCCGGAAGGUUAAUUGAUGGGGUCAGCGCAAGCGAAGCUCUUGAUCGAAGCCCCGGUAAACGGCGGCCGUAACUAUAACGGUCCUAAGGUAGCGAAAUUCCUUGUCGGGUAAGUUCCGACCUGCACGAAUGGCGUAAUGAUGGCCAGGCUGUCUCCACCCGAGACUCAGUGAAAUUGAACUCGCUGUGAAGAUGCAGUGUACCCGCGGCAAGACGGAAAGACCCCGUGAACCUUUACUAUAGCUUGACACUGAACAUUGAGCCUUGAUGUGUAGGAUAGGUGGGAGGCUUUGAAGUGUGGACGCCAGUCUGCAUGGAGCCGACCUUGAAAUACCACCCUUUAAUGUUUGAUGUUCUAACGUUGACCCGUGAUCCGGGUUGCGGACAGUGUCUGGUGGGUAGUUUGACUGGGGCGGUCUCCUCCUAAAGAGUAACGGAGGAGCACGAAGGUUGGCUAAUCCUGGUCGGACAUCAGGAGGUUAGUGCAAUGGCAUAAGCCAGCUUGACUGCGAGCGUGACGGCGCGAGCAGGUGCGAAAGCAGGUCAUAGUGAUCCGGUGGUUCUGAAUGGAAGGGCCAUCGCUCAACGGAUAAAAGGUACUCGGGGAUAACAGGCUGAUACCGCCCAAGAGUUCAUAUCGACGGCGGUGUUUGGCACCUCGAUGUCGGCUCAUCACAUCCUGGGGCUGAAGUAGGUCCCAAGGGUAUGGCUGUUCGCCAUUUAAAGUGGUACGCGAGCUGGGUUUAGAACGUCGUGAGACAGUUCGGUCCCUAUCUGCCGUGGGCGCUGGAAACUGAGGGGGCUGCUCCUAGUACGAGAGGACCGGAGUGGACGCAUCACUGGUGUUCGGGUUGUCAUGCCAAUGGCACUGCCCGGUAGCUAAAUGCGGAAGAGAUAAGUGCUGAAAGCAUCUAAGCACGAAACUUGCCCCGAGAUGAGUUCUCCCUGACUCCUUGAGAGUCCUGAAGGAACGUUGAAGACGACGACGUUGAUAGGCCGGGUGUGUAAGCGCAGCGAUGCGUUGAGCUAACCGGUACUAAUGAACCGUGAGGCUUAACCUUACAACGCCGAAGGUGUUU
Molecule: ribosomal RNA, 2924 nt
Filed under: Escherichia coli
Lineage: Bacteria; Pseudomonadati; Pseudomonadota; Gammaproteobacteria; Enterobacterales; Enterobacteriaceae
Description: 23S ribosomal RNA
Rfam family: Bacterial large subunit ribosomal RNA
Source: RNAcentral